This is a long non-coding RNA of Pongo pygmaeus (Bornean orangutan), 686 nucleotides long. RefSeq lists it as uncharacterized. The transcript has 3 exons. NCBI's taxonomy places the organism in Eukaryota, Metazoa, Chordata, Mammalia, Primates, Hominidae. The record is from RefSeq and is a predicted model, not a curated record.
CAAAGGAAGUAUGCUGGCUGGACUGUAGCAGGAUCCCUCAGAGUGGAAUGAGCCUGAGGAGAGGGCAGGAGCUUCAUUCCACACUCACCCCCAACAUGAGUGGAGCAAAUGAAUACUAACUUCUUCAAGGUCACAGGACACAGCUGAGGAAACAUGGGCAUUUGCGGUUUAAGAAGCUGUAAACAAAGAAGAGAAAUCCAUAUGAAGACCUGAGGUAUAAAGAUGCACCAUCAAAGAAUUUCUUUGCUCUCUCCUCAAGAGUCAAAAUGAUGGGGAACAGAUAUGAGUCCAGAGAGAGGAGAUGAUGCUUCCAGCAACGACAUCCUGCUGUGUCCCAAGGAGAAGGCAGGGAAGUAUGUGCUUGAUGCCCAGUGGGCUCAAUAAUCACAGCAGUAAAUGACCUUACCUUCCUGUUUGUGAAAUUUACUUUCAAGGUUGAAGUGGAAGGAUGAGCAUCAUUGUAAGCCACAACACCUAAUGGACCCUGAGCAGGUGCGAUUGUCAACACACAUCCAAUACUGACUUAGGUUUCAUCUGACACCAGUAUUUGACUUCAUUUUUAGUCUUGGCUGGAUAUUUUACAAGUAGCCCUAGUGAUAUGAGGAUAUGUGAUAUGUGAAUAUGAGGAUAUAAUGAUAUGUCUUUUGUGCUCAAAGCAAAAAUUACUCUUCCUGUGGGUUGACUGU